CAAUAGCGUAUAUUAAAGUUGUUGCGGUUAAAAGCUCGUAGUUGGAUUUCUGUUGAGAGCGGCCGGUCCACCUUUUGGGUGAGUAUCUGGAUUGGUCUCGGCAUCCUCACAACGAAUGUUUCUGCGCUUGAUUGCGUGGUAUAGGCGUUGUGACUUUUACUUUGAGGAAAUUAGAGUGUUCAAAGCAGGCCUAUGCUCUGAAUAGGUUAGCAUGGAAUAAUAAAAUAGGACUUUGGUUCUAUUUUGUUGGUUUCUAGGACCGAAGUAAUGAUUAAUAGGGACAGUUGGGGGCAUUCAUAUUCCAAUGUCAGAGGUGAAAUUCUUGGAUUAUCGGAAGAUGAACUUCUGCGAAAGCAUCUGCCAAGGAUGUUUUCAUUGAUCAAGAACGAAAGUUAGGGGAUCGAAGACGAUUAGAUACCAU
RNAcentral lists this ribosomal RNA (421 nucleotides) under uncultured eukaryote. RNAcentral describes it as "bacterial SSU rRNA". It matches the Rfam family "Eukaryotic small subunit ribosomal RNA", at positions 592 to 1018 of the family's 1831-position model. The record is from RNAcentral.